Non-coding RNA from Linepithema humile (Argentine ant), 2561 nucleotides. The record is from RefSeq and is a predicted model, not a curated record. Lineage: Eukaryota; Metazoa; Arthropoda; Insecta; Hymenoptera; Formicidae.
GUGCAGUGGAUGUGACAGUGGACAAGUUUCGCCUGAAAUAUACGACUCUAACAUUUCUAACAAGACCAGGAUCAUUUAUGUCCCGGAUCGUUAAUGCACGGAUUACGACGUAAUUCGCACAUGGUGGAUUUUUCUACUCCCGUUACUCGCUGCCCUCACUGGUUCGCAGUACAUUAUACAUCCUCGUAAAAGUAUAUCGCGCAGCAAUAAUAUAAUAAAAUUACUAAAGUAUCGACGGAGCGACGAUAAAAACGUUGUAAACGUUCCGGUGCUAACGUCGAUCGGAAAAUCGAUCUUCCAGAAAAAUAAUUAUGGCGGUGGACCUGCAGACCGAAGUAUUUAAAUACGACUUCCUCUUUUUGCUUCCUCUCUAAUUUACAAUGUGAUAAACAAUUACAGAUAAGUGUCGCUGCGAGCGUGAAACGUUAUGUUCCCUUCAUGGAGAAUCAGAGUACCAAGCAAUCGGACUUGUUCCUGGCGCCAGUGAUGUGCUUCAUUUGCUACCAGCAUACAUCAAGAGAGGUCAUAUAUGAAUUAGAGUUCGUAUCUGGAGACUUAUUUUGGCUCGUUAUUGUUCUGAUGGCGAUAGACUGCCGACGAAUAAAUUUUCCGACGAAUCGGUGGAAGCGCCGAGGGGGAGAAAACACACACAGUCUGCGAGGACCGCCGACAUAUCGCGCCGUACUUUCUCGCAAAAUUUACGGGAGCUAUUUUAAAUUCAUAAAGAUAUUUGUAUUCUCGGUCGUCGCAUAAUCGUGCAUUUGGCCAUUCCGCGCGAGAAUUCCUCGACGUCGCGACGCUGAACGCAUCUACGCGAAACGGCCGCGGGAACGGUAGCGGCAGAUUCACGUGGGAAUCAAGUCACGGAUGAGAACAUAGUCAUGUUUGGAAACAUAUCGAACAAGCUCUCAGCAUGAGUGAGCGCACUACGUAAUUCUAUGCGUAAAAUAACAGAGUGGUAUAAUGCUGAAUGCAAGCCCGAGAAAUUCUCAGAUUAAUGAUAACCGCGCGAUAUUUUAUAGCGAAAAGGAUAACGUGAAAUGUAUUUUACACAUCGUAUUUAUAGAAAUGUUAUUAAUUUGUCACAUAUCGUGGAUAAUCGAUGAUUCGAUUUAAUAAAAUGUCCACGUUAAUCUCGAUUCUCGCAGUCUUCUCACUCGUACUUUUCAUCUAAUGAAUAUUUUUUAAGGCUCCAAAUAUGUACAUUCUUGAAGAACUCAUAGACAACGUUAGACAUUGUACCUAAUGGAUGAAACGUCAAACUGCACUUCGGUGGCACUUAACAUUAUCCUGCCGGAGGGCACAGAAUUGUCUCUGUCGUGCUUUACUUGGAACACGCUGCGAAGGUAACUUCUAAGUCGCUCCAAAGUUCGCCAGCGCGUAAGAGAAUUUUCGCCCGUCGCUCCGGAAAGUUAAUAAACAUUAACAAAUCCGUCCUCUCUCUCCCUCUCUCUCUCUCUCUCUUUGUCGCGGCGCAAUAGAGUGUCGUAAAAUUUCCUGACACGGAUAUUUUCCGCGGACGAGCAAUUGCGCGAGGCGCGGCGCACGACGGUAAACAUAAAUCUCGUAAAUGGAAAUAGUUGCCGGUAUCCCGAAAUUAAAUCGAGCGGCGACAUUUCGGACUGUUUAAGUACAAUGGGACACGAAUCGCAAUUCCAGGCGACAGACACGGCUCAGUUAGCUAGAUAAAUGCCGCGCCGCAGUUUCGUGCGCGGCGGUUUCUCUCACUGUCGGCCGCUCGACUAGCAGUGAUGGCGUUCAAACCGAUAUCUAUCCGUAACUUCGGUGAGCGAGCUGACAAAAGGGCGAGCACGGGUGGGAAUAAAUUGCAAGGCAAGUUUGAGAUAUUUCCAUUAAAAAGCAAUUAUACUAUUUCAAGUAUUGUCUCGCUUGUGGUUACGCGCAAUGUUAAUGAUUCUGAGUGCGCUAAAUGGAAAGUUAAAGCGAAACUUAAAAACGAAAUAAGCUCGCAUUUCGCGGCAGCUGACAAGCGUAAUUAUAACAGAAUGUUCUGCAUUUUUCUUCUGCUCUCAUCUGAAAUUGAUUGUUCGAUGACUUGAAUCUACAUUAUUCUUCACAUUCUCAUUAUUUGCUAUAAAUUCCUCUUGCAAUAUUAGACCGCCGUCACGCGUGACGCGCGCCGCCUUAAAAUUCGGCGCCGCCAGCCGCGCGCGUUAAUCGAUUUUUCCUUCCAGACUUUCCGCUCGCGUGCGGAAAUUACGCGCGGUACAAGAACAAACGUAUAAAUAAUGACGCGAAGUAAGCACGACAAAAACGUCGCAAUCCCUCAUCGAUUUAAUGCGUUGCCAUGGAAGCGACGGAAGGAAAAAACCGUACUGCGGAAGCUGAGCGUAAAAGCCCAUCGCAUACAAAUUUACAUAAGAGCAUAAGUAUGGCGUAUGGGCGCGUCGACCAAUGAAACCCCAAGAAUGAGCCGCCGUAUUGUUUUAUAGAACAUGAGCGUACAUAAGAUAAUGGUUGCGACGAAAGUAAAAACAAAACCCGACUUUUUUUUAUGUGCGGAUUAUACGUGUAAUAAAUUACAUAGCGUAAAAUAUGGU